AAUCUCAUAAAAAGUGUUAUGGUUAUAAACAAGUGGAGCAGGGAGAAAUGGCUAUGGGAAUGUGUGUACACAAGGAUAUAUGCACAGUA
This is a non-coding RNA of Tinamus guttatus (white-throated tinamou), 89 nucleotides long. The record is from RefSeq and is a predicted model, not a curated record. Lineage: Eukaryota; Metazoa; Chordata; Aves; Tinamiformes; Tinamidae.